This 1116-nucleotide long non-coding RNA is filed under the name Mus musculus (house mouse). RNAcentral's name for it is "long non-coding RNA chr16:31511166-31512282". The record is from RNAcentral. Lineage: Eukaryota; Metazoa; Chordata; Mammalia; Rodentia; Muridae.
UUUUUACUAAUUUCCAUAGAAUACUCCAUGUCUCAGUCAGGAUUUCCAUUGCUGUGAAGAGACACCGUGACCACAGCAACUCUUAUGAAGGAAAAGAUUUCAUGUGGACUGGCCUGCAGACCAGAGAUUUAGUCUACUGUUGUCAUGGCAGGAAACCUAGCAGUGUGCAUGGUGCUGGAGAGGAGCUAAGAGUUCUACAUCCCGAUCAGAAGGCAGCAGGAAGGGAACUUUGAGCCACUAGACCUGAGCUUCUGAGACUUCAAAGCCUACCCCUUGGUGACAUGCUUCCCUCAACAAGCCACACCCACUCCAGUACCUAAUAGUGCCACUCCCUGUGGAUCUGUGGGGGCCGUUUUCAUUCAAACUUCCACACCCCAUAUAUUUCUUGGGUUGCGUGUCUACUUUGUCACACAACAGAUAUAGCGUUCUGGCAAGCUGUAGCAUGUGCCACCAUUUUCUCUCAGAACCACUCAAAUAGGUGACAACACCCUCUUACACAAGCCUCUGCCACCUGGAAGAGAGUUCAUCCCGCUGCAAGAGAAGGAGGACUGAGAUUGAAGGGGUGUUUACUAAUUAUUUAUUUAUUUUUACUAAUUAUCAUUUACUAAUUCUGAUUUCUAACUAAGGGUUAGUGUUUAAGGUAUAAGGUGCUGGGGUGGCUAGUUUUAAUUGUUAACUUGACACCAUAUAGAGUCACCUGGGAAGAGCUUUGAUUGAUUACCUAGAUAAAGUUGGCCCACAGGCCUGCUAUUAUUUUGAUUGUGUUAAUCGAGGUGGGAAGACCUGCCCACUGUGGGUGGUAACAUUCCCUAGGAAGGGGGAUCAUGAACUGUAUGAAAGGGGAGAAAACGAAUUGGUCCUAAGCACGCAUGAUUUACUCCAGUGUGCUCUGCUCUUGACUGUGAAUGUAAUGUUCAUUCAAGGUCCUGCUGCUGUGACUUCCCUUCUAUGCCUUACUGUACCAUGGAAUUGUGAGCUAAAAUAAAGCCUUUCUUUCUUAAAUUACUUUUGCCAGGGUAUUUUAUCACAGCAAAAUAAAAGAAGACCAAUACACAUGUGUUAAUUCACUUGACUUUGUUAUAUCACACUAAUUUUUAUGAAUCCUUACACUACUUU